GGAGGGAGAGGGCAGGAAGGAGGCAGAGCUGUCCGUGGGAGGUGGAGGCCGAGGACAUUUUCCUGAAGGGCAGGGGUUGGCAACUUUUCAACAUGGAGUGCCAAACUGCUAACCUGUCUUCUAGUGUGUGAGAAUAGGGACCAAGGUGGUGGCGUGACCUUAACUCUCAGAAGCAGAGGAGGCAGGUGGGUGGAGGGGGAUGCUGGGAGUUCACCUGCCUCUUGCUUUUUGUGGGUGGCUGCUGCCACCACCGCCGCUGCUAUAUAGUUUAGGUUUCUGAGGGUCUGCAAGUGCAGACAGCAGCUGGGGCCAAAGAGGUGUUAGGUUCAAAGGCUGCGAAGCGAAUAGGCUACUGGAAAACCAAACCCAACAGAAUUCACGUCCAAAAAUCCACGUUCUCCAUCGCUUCUCAGCCUUUUGGCUAAGAUUAAGUAUUAAAAAAAAAACCAGGCUCUGCCAGGCGCAGUGGCUCAUGCCUAUAAUCCCGGCACUUUGGGAGUCUGUGGCAGGAGGAUUGCUUGAGGCCAGGAGUUUGAGACCAGCCUGGGCAACAUAGAGAGACCCCAUCUCUACAAAAGAUUAAAAAUUAGCUGCGUGUAGUAGCAUAUGCCUUUCAACGUAGCUACUCAGGAGGCUGAGGUGGGAGGAUCCCUUGAGCCGAGGAGUUUGAGUCUGCAGUGAGCUAUGAUCGCACCACUGCAUUCCGGACCCCAUCUCGAAAAAAAAAAAAAAAAAAAA
RNAcentral lists this small RNA (738 nucleotides) under Pan troglodytes (chimpanzee). Its description in RNAcentral is "processed transcript". The record is from RNAcentral. Lineage: Eukaryota; Metazoa; Chordata; Mammalia; Primates; Hominidae.